UUCCGGUUGAUCCCGCCGGACCUGACUGCUAUCGGAUUGAUACUAAGCCAUGCGAGUCAUUGUAGCAAUACAAGGCAGACGGCUCAGUAACGCGUAGUCAACCUAACCUAUGGACGAGAAUAACCUCGGGAAACUGAGAAUAAUGCUCGAUAGAACACUAUACCUGGAAUGGUUUGUGUUCCAAAUGAUUUAUCGCCGUAGGAUGGGACUGCGGCCUAUCAGUUUGUUGGUGAGGUAAUGGCCCACCAAGACUAUUACAGGUACGGGCUCUGAGAGGAGUAGCCCGGAGAUGGGUACUGAGACACGGACCCAGGCCCUAUGGGGCGCAGCAGGCGAGAAAACUUUGCAAUGUGCGAAAGCACGACAAGGUUAAUCCGAGUGAUUUGUGCUAAACGAAUCUUUUGUUAGUCCUAGAAACACUAACGAAUAAGGGGUGGGCAAGUUCUGGUGUCAGCCGCCGCGGUAAAACCAGCACCUCAAGUGGUCAGGAUGAUUAUUGGGCCUAAAGCAUCCGUAGCCGGCUCUGUAAGUUUUCGGUUAAAUCUGUAUGCUCAACAUACAGGCUGCCGGGAAUACUGCAGAGCUAGGGAGUGGGAGAGGUAGACGGUACUCGGUAGGAAGGGGUAAAAUCCUUUGAUCUAUUGAUGACCACCUGUGGCGAAGGCGGUCUACCAGAACACGUCCGACGGUGAGGGAUGAAAGCUGGGGGAGCAAACCGGAUUAGAUACCCGGGUAGUCCCAGCUGUAAACUAUGCAAACUCAGUGAUGCAUUGGCUUGUGGCCAAUGCAGUGCUGCAGGGAAGCCGUUAAGUUUGCCGCCU
Molecule: ribosomal RNA, 821 nt
Filed under: uncultured archaeon
Lineage: Archaea
Description: bacterial SSU rRNA
Rfam family: Archaeal small subunit ribosomal RNA
Source: RNAcentral